UAGGGAAUCUUCGGCAAUGGGGGGAACCCUGACCGAGCAACGCCGCGUGAGUGAAGAAGGUUUUCGGAUCGUAAAGCUCUGUUGUUAAGGAAGAACGAGUGUGAGAAUGGAAAGUUCAUGCUGUGACGGUACUUAACCAGAAAGGGACGGCUAACUACGUGCCAGCAGCCGCGGUAAUACGUAGGUCCCGAGCGUUGUCCGGAUUUAUUGGGCGUAAAGCGAGCGCAGGCGGUUAGAAAAGUCUGAAGUGAAAGGCAGUGGCUCAACCAUUGUAGGCUUUGGAAACUGUUUAACUUGAGUGCAGAAGGGGAGAGUGGAAUUCCAUGUGUAGCGGUGGAAUGCGUAGAUAUAUGGAAGAACACCAGUGGCGAAAGCGACUUUCUGGUCUGUCACUGACGCUGAGGCCCGAAAGCGUGGGUAGCAAACAGG
Molecule: ribosomal RNA, 429 nt
Filed under: Verrucomicrobiota bacterium
Lineage: Bacteria; Pseudomonadati; Verrucomicrobiota
Description: Verrucomicrobia bacterium partial 16S ribosomal RNA
Rfam family: Bacterial small subunit ribosomal RNA
Source: RNAcentral